UGUAAGCGUAUACCAAAGUUGUUGCAGUUAAAACGCUCGUAGUCGGAAUUUGGCAGUUCCGGAUGUGUGCACGUCGUGUGCGCACUUCGCGGGGAUUGCUUUUGUGGUCUUGCGUAGGAUGAGGCACUUUUAUUAGUGAACGUCCUCACGCAACCACUUUUUACUGUGAGAAAAUCAGAGUGCUCAAAGCAGGCAUUUGCCGUGAAUGUAUUAGCAUGGAAUAAUAGAAUAGGACUUGGUUCUAUUUUGUUGGUUUGUUGGGACUGAGUAAUGAUUAAGAGGGACAGUUGGGGGCAUUUGUAUUUCGGUGCUAGAGGUGAAAUUCUUAGAUUACCGAAAGACAAACUGCUGCGAAAGCGUCUACCAAGGAUGUUUUCAUUAA
This 382-nucleotide ribosomal RNA is filed under the name uncultured eukaryote. Its description in RNAcentral is "partial 18S ribosomal RNA". It matches the Rfam family "Eukaryotic small subunit ribosomal RNA", at positions 592 to 976 of the family's 1831-position model. The record is from RNAcentral.